RNAcentral lists this ribosomal RNA (450 nucleotides) under uncultured bacterium. RNAcentral's name for it is "partial 16S ribosomal RNA". It matches the Rfam family "Bacterial small subunit ribosomal RNA", at positions 354 to 796 of the family's 1533-position model. The record is from RNAcentral.
GUGGGGAAUCUUCCGCAAUGGACGAAAGUCUGACGGAGCAACGCCGCGUGAGUGAAGAAGGUUUUCGGAUCGUAAAGCUCUUUCGUUAGGGACGAACGUGCUCUUUGUGAAUAAUGAGGAGUAAUGACGGUACCUAAAUAAGAAGCCACGGCUAACUACGUGCCAGCAGCCGCGGUAAUACGUAGGUGGCAAGCGUUGUCCGGAAUUAUUGGGCGUAAAGCGCGCGCAGGCGGGAUAUCAAGUCUGUCUUAAAAGUGCGAGGCUCAACCUCGUGAGGGGACAGAAACUGGUAUUCUUGAGUGUCGGAGAGGAAAGUGGAAUUCCAAGUGUAGCGGUGAAAUGCGUAGAGAUUUGGAAGAACACCAGUGGCGAAGGCGACUUUCUGGACGGUGUCUGACACUGAGGCGCGAAAGCCAGGGGAGCGAACGGGAUUAGAUACCCUGGUAGUCC